Molecule: unclassified non-coding RNA, 290 nt
Filed under: Hevea brasiliensis (rubber tree)
Lineage: Eukaryota; Viridiplantae; Streptophyta; Magnoliopsida; Malpighiales; Euphorbiaceae
Source: RNAcentral
GUUCAAUUGAAAGAUGAAAUUGAAGAAUCUGUUGUAAAAAAUUGCCAACAACCUUUCACAAUGUGGAAAAAAUUGGAUAAAACUUUAACAAUCUUUAGAAAUCUAGCUUAUUGUUCCAAGAUUAAAAGUUUUGGAUUAGAUUGUAAAAAUGCACAAACUUUUGGAAGAAGGGACCCUCGGGAUUUAGAGGAAUUUGUGUUACAAGCUUUUUAUGAGUCCAUAGUGAAAUUGGGGGGAACAGAAAACAAAAUUGAUGUUUUUUAUUAUACAAAAGAGAAAAAGAGAGAGAG